UGGGGAAUUUUCCGCAAUGGGCUAACGCCUGACGGAGCAAUACCGCGUGAGGGAUGACGGCCUAUGGGUUGUAAACCUCUUUUUUCAGGGAGGAAUAAAUGACGUGUACCUGAAGAAUAAGCAUCGGCUAACUCCGUGCCAGCAGCCGCGGUAAGACGGAGGAUGCAAGUGUUAUCCGGAAUCACUGGGCGUAAAGCGUCUGUAGGUGGUUUAAUAAGUCAACUGUUAAAUCUUGAGGCUUAACUUCAAAAUCGCAGUCGAAACUAUUAGACUAGAGUAUAGUAGGGGUAAAGGGAUUUCCAGUGGAGCGGUGAAAUGCGUAGAGAUUGGAAAGAACACCAAUGGCGAAGGCACUUUACUGGGCUAUUACUGACACUGAGAGACGAAAGCUAGGGUAGCAAAUGGGAUUAGAUACCCCAGUAGUCCUAGCCGUAAACGAUGGAUACUAGAUGUUGAACAGAUCGACCUGUGCUA
Molecule: ribosomal RNA, 474 nt
Filed under: uncultured cyanobacterium
Lineage: Bacteria; Bacillati; Cyanobacteriota
Description: bacterial SSU rRNA
Rfam family: Bacterial small subunit ribosomal RNA
Source: RNAcentral